This 204-nucleotide long non-coding RNA is filed under the name Gossypium raimondii (Peruvian cotton). RNAcentral describes it as "long non-coding RNA (GRAI_LNC002801)". Lineage: Eukaryota; Viridiplantae; Streptophyta; Magnoliopsida; Malvales; Malvaceae. The record is from RNAcentral.
UUGAGACAAAAAUAAAAAGAAAGAGAUGGUAAAACUAGGUGUAGGCGACGGUAACAAUGGAGGAAGAAAGGGAAAAAAAUGAAGACCAAGGAGGAGAGGAGAGGGGAGGAACGACUAGGGUGUGUCAAAAUAGAAUAAAGGCUGAUUAUUAUGUGUAAAGUUAGCAUUUAUACAUAGGGUUACAAGGGUAUGGAUGGCACACAC